Molecule: ribosomal RNA, 2672 nt
Filed under: Yersinia mollaretii
Lineage: Bacteria; Pseudomonadati; Pseudomonadota; Gammaproteobacteria; Enterobacterales; Yersiniaceae
Description: bacterial LSU rRNA
Rfam family: Bacterial large subunit ribosomal RNA
Source: RNAcentral
CCCCCAGUAGCGGCGAGCGAACGGGGAAGAGCCCAGAGUCUGAAUCAGCUGGUGUGUUAGUGGAAGCGUCUGGAAAGUCGCACGGUACAGGGUGAUAGUCCCGUACACAAAAGCACACCUUCUGUGAACUCGAUGAGUAGGGCGGGACACGUGACAUCCUGUCUGAAUAUGGGGGGACCAUCCUCCAAGGCUAAAUACUCCUGACUGACCGAUAGUGAACCAGUACCGUGAGGGAAAGGCGAAAAGAACCCCGGCGAGGGGAGUGAAAUAGAACCUGAAACCGUGUACGUACAAGCAGUGGGAGCACCUUCGUGGUGUGACUGCGUACCUUUUGUAUAAUGGGUCAGCGACUUAUAUUUUGUAGCAAGGUUAACCGAAUAGGGGAGCCGUAGGGAAACCGAGUCUUAACUGGGCGUCUAGUUGCAAGGUAUAGACCCGAAACCCGGUGAUCUAGCCAUGGGCAGGUUGAAGGUUGGGUAACACUAACUGGAGGACCGAACCGACUAAUGUUGAAAAAUUAGCGGAUGACUUGUGGCUGGGGGUGAAAGGCCAAUCAAACCGGGAGAUAGCUGGUUCUCCCCGAAAGCUAUUUAGGUAGCGCCUCGUGAACUCAUCUUCGGGGGUAGAGCACUGUUUCGGCUAGGGGGUCAUCCCGACUUACCAAACCGAUGCAAACUCCGAAUACCGAAGAAUGUUAUCACGGGAGACACACGGCGGGUGCUAACGUCCGUCGUGAAGAGGGAAACAACCCAGACCGCCAGCUAAGGUCCCAAAGUCAUGGUUAAGUGGGAAACGAUGUGGGAAGGCAUAGACAGCCAGGAUGUUGGCUUAGAAGCAGCCAUCAUUUAAAGAAAGCGUAAUAGCUCACUGGUCGAGUCGGCCUGCGCGGAAGAUGUAACGGGGCUAAACCAUGCACCGAAGCUGCGGCAGCGACACUUAGGUGUUGUUGGGUAGGGGAGCGUUCUGUAAGCCGUUGAAGGUGGCCUGUGAGGGCUGCUGGAGGUAUCAGAAGUGCGAAUGCUGACAUAAGUAACGAUAAUGCGGGUGAAAAACCCGCACGCCGGAAGACCAAGGGUUCCUGUCCAACGUUAAUCGGGGCAGGGUGAGUCGACCCCUAAGGCGAGGCUGAAAAGCGUAGUCGAUGGGAAACAGGUUAAUAUUCCUGUACUUGGUGUUACUGCGAAGGGGGGACGGAGAAGGCUAGGCUAGCCGGGCGACGGUUGUCCCGGUUUAAGCAUGUAGGCGGAGUGACUUGGUAAAUCCGGUUGCUUAUCAACGCUGAGGUGUGAUGACGAUGCACUACGGUGCAGAAGUAGUUGAUGCCAAGCUUCCAGGAAAAGCCUCUAAGCAUCAGGUAACAUUGAAUCGUACCCCAAACCGACACAGGUGGUCAGGUAGAGAAUACUCAGGCGCUUGAGAGAACUCGGGUGAAGGAACUAGGCAAAAUGGUGCCGUAACUUCGGGAGAAGGCACGCUGGCAUUAGGUAAAGAGACUUGCUCUCGGCGCCGAAGCCAGUCGCAGAUACCAGCUGGCUGCAACUGUUUAAUAAAAACACAGCACUGUGCAAACACGAAAGUGGACGUAUACGGUGUGACGCCUGCCCGGUGCUGGAAGGUUAAUUGAUGGGGUCAGCCGCAAGGCGAAGCUCUUGAUCGAAGCCCCAGUAAACGGCGGCCGUAACUAUAACGGUCCUAAGGUAGCGAAAUUCCUUGUCGGGUAAGUUCCGACCUGCACGAAUGGCGUAAUGAUGGCCAGGCUGUCUCCACCCGAGACUCAGUGAAAUUGAACUCGCUGUGAAGAUGCAGUGUACCCGCGGCAAGACGGAAAGACCCCGUGAACCUUUACUAUAGCUUGACACUGAACAUUGAGCCUUGAUGUGUAGGAUAGGUGGGAGGCAUUGAAGUGUGGACGCCAGUCUGCAUGGAGCCAACCUUGAAAUACCACCCUUUAAUGUUUGAUGUUCUAACUCGGCCCCAUAAUCUGGGGUGAGGACAGUGUCUGGUGGGUAGUUUGACUGGGGCGGUCUCCUCCCAAAGAGUAACGGAGGAGCACGAAGGUUAGCUAAUCACGGUCGGACAUCGUGAGGUUAGUGCAAAGGCAUAAGCUAGCUUGACUGCGAGAGUGACGGCUCGAGCAGGUACGAAAGUAGGUCUUAGUGAUCCGGUGGUUCUGAAUGGAAGGGCCAUCGCUCAACGGAUAAAAGGUACUCCGGGGAUAACAGGCUGAUACCGCCCAAGAGUUCAUAUCGACGGCGGUGUUUGGCACCUCGAUGUCGGCUCAUCACAUCCUGGGGCUGAAGUAGGUCCCAAGGGUAUGGCUGUUCGCCAUUUAAAGUGGUACGCGAGCUGGGUUUAGAACGUCGUGAGACAGUUCGGUCCCUAUCUGCCGUGGGCGUUGGAAGAUUGAGAGGGGCUGCUCCUAGUACGAGAGGACCGGAGUGGACGAAUCACUGGUGUUCGGGUUGUCAUGCCAAUGGCAUUGCCCGGUAGCUAAAUUCGGAAGAGAUAACCGCUGAAAGCAUCUAAGCGGGAAACUUGCCUCGAGAUGAGUCUUCCCUGGGGCUUUAAGCCCCCUGAAGGAACGUUAAAGACUAUGACGUUGAUAGGCUGGGUGUGUAAGUGCAGCGAUGCAUUGAGCUAACCAGUACUAAUGAUCCGUGAGGCUUAACCUU